RNAcentral lists this ribosomal RNA (830 nucleotides) under Sphingobacteriaceae bacterium 01xTSA12B_E05. RNAcentral's name for it is "bacterial SSU rRNA". It matches the Rfam family "Bacterial small subunit ribosomal RNA", at positions 60 to 890 of the family's 1533-position model. Lineage: Bacteria; Pseudomonadati; Bacteroidota; Sphingobacteriia; Sphingobacteriales; Sphingobacteriaceae. The record is from RNAcentral.
AGUCGAACGGGAUUGAGAAGCUUGCUUUUCAUGAGAGUGGCGCACGGGUGCGUAACACGUAUGUAACCUACCUUAAUCUGGGGGAUAGCCUCUCGAAAGAGAGAUUAACACCGCAUAACAUCAUUUUAUAGCAUUUUAGAAUGAUCAAAUAUUUAUAGGAUUAAGAUGGGCAUGCGGAACAUUAGCUAGUUGGUAAGGUAAUGGCUUACCAAGGCUACGAUGUUUAGGGGAUCUGAGAGGAUGACCCCCCACACUGGUACUGAGACACGGACCAGACUCCUACGGGAGGCAGCAGUAAGGAAUAUUGGUCAAUGGGCGCAAGCCUGAACCAGCCAUGCCGCGUGCAGGAAGACGGCCCUACGGGUUGUAAACUGCUUUUGUACCGGAAUAAACUUUGAUACGUGUAUCAAGCUGAAUGUACGGUAAGAAUAAGGAUCGGCUAACUCCGUGCCAGCAGCCGCGGUAAUACGGAGGAUCCAAGCGUUAUCCGGAUUUAUUGGGUUUAAAGGGUGCGUAGGCGGUUCUUUAAGUCAGGGGUGAAAGACGGUAGCUUAACUAUCGCAGUGCCUUUGAUACUGAAGAACUUGAAUACACUUGAGGUAGGCGGAAUGUGACAAGUAGCGGUGAAAUGCAUAGAUAUGUCACAGAACACCAAUUGCGAAGGCAGCUUACUAAAGUGUCAUUGACGCUGAGGCACGAAAGCGUGGGGAUCAAACAGGAUUAGAUACCCUGGUAGUCCACGCCCUAAACGAUGAAUACUCGAUGUUGGCGAUAUACGGUCAGCGUCUAAGCGAAAGCGUUAAGUAUUCCACCUGGGGAGUACGCCCGCA